UGGGGAAUAUUGCACAAUGGGGGAAACCCUGAUGCAGCGACGCCGCGUGAGCGAAGAAGGUUUUCGAAUCGUAAAGCUCUGUCCUAUGGGAAGAUAAUGACGGUACCAUAGGAGGAAGCCCCGGCUAACUACGUGCCAGCAGCCGCGGUAAUACGUAGGGGGCAAGCGUUGUCCGGAAUCACUGGGCGUAAAGGGUUCGCAGGCGGAAAUGCAAGUCAGUUGUGAAAGGCAGAGGCUCAACCUCUGUAAGCAAUUGAAACUGUAUUUCUUGAGAUGUGGAGAGGCAAGUGGAAUUCCUAGUAUAGCGGUGAAUUGCGUAGAUAUUAGGAAGAAUACCGGUGGCGAAGGCGACUUGCUGGACACAAACUGACGCUGAGGAACGAAAGCGUGGGUAGCAAACAGG
Molecule: ribosomal RNA, 403 nt
Filed under: Fusobacteriota bacterium
Lineage: Bacteria; Fusobacteriati; Fusobacteriota
Description: Fusobacteria bacterium partial 16S ribosomal RNA
Rfam family: Bacterial small subunit ribosomal RNA
Source: RNAcentral